UACAACCUUGACAGAAAUCCAGAGCAGGAGACGGUGAGUGUCCCGGCGGAUCUGCUGCUCAGCUUCAACGAAGAUGAGAGUCCUUGUAGGUGGUGGGUCGGGGUUUGUGGGUCGAGAGCUGACACGGUUGCUACGCAAGGAAGGCCAUGAGGUCACGAUCAUCUCCCGACAGCCGGGUCCUGGGAGGAUCACCUGGGAUGACUUGGAGGCUGGCGGCCUCCCACCAUGUGAGGGCGCUGUUAACUUGGCUGGAGAGAACCUCAUGAAUCCCCUGCGCUGGUGGAACGAGAGUUACAAGAAGGAUCUGUUCUCCAGUCGGGUCGAUACGACCAGAGCCCUCGCCCGGGCUAUCUGUGCCUCCCCCCAGCCCCCUCAUGCUUGGGUCCUCGUCACAGGUGUGGCCUGCUAUAAGCCCAGCCAGACGGAGCAGUACACAGAGGACAGCUCCUGGGCUCCCUUUGACCUCCUGUCUCAGCUGGUGAAGGAGUGGGAGGGGGCGGCACGUCUGCCCGAAAACAUCGCUACAGAAACCAGACAGGUGAUCAUCAGGCCAGGGGCAGUACUGGGCCGGGACGGCGGGGCAAUGAAACAGAUGCUCACCCCGUUCUGGCUGGGUUUGGGGGGCACCCUGGGCUCUGGCCAGCAGCCCUUCCCCUGGAUCCACGUGUCCGACCUGGCCGGGAUAAUCGCCCACUCCCUGCAGCCCCCCUCCUGCCCCCCGUCCAGUGCCCCCGAGGUCUUCAAUGGGGUCGCCCCGGCGCAGAACACCAACUCCGAGUUUACCAAGGAACUGGGGCGCACGCUGGGCCGGCCCACGCUGCUGCCGGUGCCGGGCGGGGUUCUGAGGGCGCUGCUGGGGUCGGAGCGUGCCGUGGUGCUGACCGAGGGCCAGCGCGUGCUACCCCACAGGACCCUGCAGGCCGGGUACCGCUUCCGGUACCCCGACUUGAAGGCCGCCCUGUGCCAAAUAGUGGGCAGUUAACAGCUACAGCCCUGCAGAACCGGCUCGCUCUGGAGGCCUACAGCAAACACAGCCGGCCUCGGACUCUCUGUGCAUUACCCACAAUUCCCCUCAGCUCGCUGUGCUGCCGGCAGGACUGACCCUGUAGGAUUAACUGUAGGCGGCGUGAUGCACACAGUCUCCAGGAAGGAGACUCAUCACCGCUGAGCGCUUGGUGUCUCCAUGGAAAUCACACUUCUGUGUCUUUACUCUGUCUGCACUUCACUCUCUGACCUGGUCUUUCCACAAAUGUGUUUGCACUGAGAGACGGUUAACUGCACAGUGAGAACAUCCAUCCCCACGGUGAAAGCAGCUCCAUCCAGCUCACU
This is an RNA transcript of Megalops cyprinoides (Indo-Pacific tarpon), 1329 nucleotides long. It is a transcript of the gene named short chain dehydrogenase/reductase family 39U, member 1, with no coding region annotated. The record is from RefSeq and is a predicted model, not a curated record. The transcript has 7 exons. Lineage: Eukaryota; Metazoa; Chordata; Actinopteri; Elopiformes; Megalopidae.